Pantherophis guttatus is the source of this 3005-nucleotide non-coding RNA. NCBI's taxonomy places the organism in Eukaryota, Metazoa, Chordata, Lepidosauria, Squamata, Colubridae. The record is from RefSeq and is a predicted model, not a curated record.
GCCGCAGCCAUCUUUGUUGAGGGCUUUCCUGUUUCCUGAAGUUGCCGCGUUCGAAAAACCGGAGUCAGUUGAGGGUGUUGUUACAGGGUGCGCAUUUGACAUCCCAGGCCAUUUGAACGCGUAUAUAGGUGAAUAUUGCAACCCAACAAGACAGACACAGACUUCAGAGGAUAAUUAGAACUGCAGAAAAAACAAUGGCUACCAACCUGCCUUCCAUUGAGGACCUGUAUACUGCACGAGUCAAAAAGAGGGCUGUGAAAAUAUUUACAGACCUCUCGCAUCCUGGACAUAAACUGUUUCAACUCCUACCCUCAAAACGACGCUAUAGAGCACUGCACACCAGAACAACUAAACACAAGGACAGUUUUUUCCUAAACGCCAUCACUCAACAAAUAAUUCCCUCAACACUGUCAAACUAUUCACUAAGUCUGCAUUACUAUUACUAUUAGUCUUCUCAUCGUUUCUAUCACCCAUCUCCUCCCACUUAUGACUGUAUGACUGUAACCUUAUUGCUGGUAUCCUUAAGAUUUAUAUUGACUGUUUUCUAAUACGAUUUGAUUGCUUAUUUGUUCCCUAUGACUAUCAUUAAGAGUUGUAUCUUAUGAUUCAUGACGAAUGUAUCUUUUAUUUUAUAUAAAGAGCCCUGGUGGCGCAGCAGACUAAAGCACUGUUAUUAACAUCAGCUGCCUGCAAUUACUGCAAGUUCAAAUCUCACUAGGUUCAAGGUUGACUCAGCCUUCCAUCCUUUCUAAGGUAGGUAAAAUGAGGACCCGGAUUGUGGGGGCAAUCAGCUGACUUUGUAUAAAAUAUACAAAAGUAUGAAGGCUAUUGCUUAACGCAUUGUAAGCCGUCCUGAGUCUCCGGAGAAGGGCGGCAUAUAAAUCAAAUAAAAAAAAAGUACACUGACAGUAUAUGCACCAAGAAAAAUUCCUUGUGUGUCCAAUCACACUUGGCCAAUAAAGAAUUCUAUUCUAUUCUAUUCUAUUCUAUUCUAUUCUAUUCUAUUCUAUUCUAUUCUAUUCUAUUCUAUUCUAUUCUAUAUUAAAAGGUAGACUUCAAAUCUCAUUAGCAGAAUAUGAGUAUCAGGGCUAACAUAGUAGGCCAGGGCUGGAAAAAGAAAUAGGUAGAGCUAAGAUCAAAAUGAAAUGAUCUGAAGAAAGAUAAAAUCCUUGGAGUUCAGCUUCUGGUGGUUUCCCAUUCAGAUACUAUUAAGGUUUAAUUCUACUUAGCUUUUUUGCUAAGUAGCCAAAAUUGUCUGGAUGCUGCCUUUUGUUAUGAUGAGUUUGACUUGAAUUUCAUCUGAUUAGGAUUAAUGCGUUGUAUUUAAUGUCAUAUGAACCUUAUAACUUGAUACCAACUUUUAGAAAGGCCCCAGGUUGCCUGCAUAAGCCAUAGUGCACAAUGUGAACCAAUUCUGCAAUAUGUGGACUCCUUCAAUUGAAGCUUAUGCAAGCUAUGGUGAAACAACCAACUUUAAAUGCGGAUGAUACAGUCUUGCAAGUCUUUUUUCUAAAAACAGUGAGCUAUUUUCUCUUUUAUUAGUUCUCUUUUCAUAAACAUUUUCUCAGCCUAUUUAGCACUAUGAGAAGAGUCCAGUAUGAGAAAUGUAAAGUCUGCAGCGCUACAUAAAGUAAUGCAUUGCUGUUCAGUUGGCUGUUGAGUGUUUGAUUCUCCUUCCUGUCUGGUAAACUGUCCAGGUUUUAAUGAUUACUCUCCUUCUAUUGUGCCCUGGAGUGUGUAAUCAAUUUCAGACAAGGAGUAGGAACAAUGCAAGUGGUUCAGAUACAGAUAGAUGGGCAAUAGAGAUGAAACCACUCAAUCUUUGGACUGGACCACCCAUGAUACUUUUGGCUUGGUGGAUUCACUUCUGGAAAGUCACAGAAUUACUCCUGAAAGGGUUGUCUGGAGGAGGGCAGAUUGGCAGUCUGGGGGAAGAAUGGAAGUUUUUGGACACAUCUGCCAAACAAAAGGCAAUAUCAGUAACUUUCCAUCACUGAUUCUAUACCCAAAGCCACCAAUCCUGAACCAGAGUUCUAACUAGCAACAUAUGGAAUGCUGGCUGACAUUUUCAGAUAGAAAGCCACAAGGUAGAAAGAUGGAGAAAUGGUAGUUGUGUUGGGUAACAUUUAGCAUGAGACUCCCUUGGUUUUCAGAAUCAGAGCUGACUUGCUUUGAAGCUUGAACCAGAGCUGAAAGCUUUGAAAGCUUUCUUGGAAACCUUGACCCUGAAGACGCCGACCCCUUUGCCCUUUGAACUUUGACUGCUGGUAAUAAAUGCUUCGUCUCCUAGGAACAGAAUAGCUUUGUACAACAGGAUAUUGCUGUUGCUGGUUCUCAGUAUUGAAGUCCAUGUAUGGGUUUUUUUGAAUUUUGAUGAGCCAAGAUUGGACUCUUAUUGUAUCUUCACCAUUCAUUUUAGCAUAUUGUGCCAACCCAGCUCAUUGUUCGGUUUAUAGUCAUGAUCUUUCUUCCCACUAUUGUAAUUAUUAUUAUUAUUAUUAUUAUUAUUAUUAUUAUUAUUAUUAUUAUUAUUAUUAUUAUGGGACGUCACACAAUCAGCCAGAUGUUCAAACUGGAUUUGGCAUUUUUGUCUGCCUAUAAAGUUCUUCUCAAGGACCUGGGAUAGGCAGAUAUGGAUGUUUGAUGGUAUUGCAGAUAUUGUCGCACGAUGUCAGCUGUUUCAAGUAAAGCUGGUUUUUGCAAUUGACUGAUGGUGAAUUUGUCAAUGCUGACAUGGUGUUCAAGUGUGCUUCAAUGAUUUGGAGAUUGCACCCAAGGAACUAUUAUUAGUGGUACUAUUUGCCACCUAUCUCAUGGGCUACUUUUUUAUUGUAAAUAAAAACAAUAAAAUGAUAAAAAAAUACUGUUCUUGGUAUGUACACUGUAUGUACUUUAUAUUUGUUAUUGAUUUGUUUUCUAUUGAGUUUUAAUUUUAUGUUAGCUACCCAGAGUCACUGCUGAGAUGGGUAGCUAUAUAAAUUGAUUAAAAUAAAUGACUACAUGAA